Molecule: unclassified non-coding RNA, 302 nt
Filed under: Hevea brasiliensis (rubber tree)
Lineage: Eukaryota; Viridiplantae; Streptophyta; Magnoliopsida; Malpighiales; Euphorbiaceae
Source: RNAcentral
GAUUUGAAGCAUCUUCAGGGGAAAUUUUGCAUUAUGGGAUUGGAUAAUGUGGCGGAUGGUCGACAUGCAUUUGAUGCUAAUAUAAGAAAAAAGCACAAUCUUGUUGAGUUAGGGUUGGAAUGGAGCUGCAACUUUCAUGAUCUUCGAAAAAAGGAAUGUGAAAUGCGAGUUCUUAAUUUGCUAAAACCUUGCACAAGUCUUAGAGAUCUCAGCAUUUCAUUCUAUGGAGGUGCAAAAUUCCCAUUGUGGAUAGGGGAUCCCUCAUUUGCUAAAUUAUCGCAACUAAAACUCUCUUGUUGUAG